Molecule: ribosomal RNA, 253 nt
Filed under: uncultured bacterium
Lineage: Bacteria
Description: partial 16S ribosomal RNA
Rfam family: Bacterial small subunit ribosomal RNA
Source: RNAcentral
UACGUAUGGUGCAAGCGUUAUCCGGAUUUACUGGGUGUAAAGGGAGCGCAGGCGGCACGGCAAGCCUGAUGUGAAAGCCCGCGGCCCAACCGCGGGACUGCAUUGGGAACUACCGGGCUGGAGUGCCGGAGAGGUAGGCGGAAUUCCUAGUGUAGUGGUGAAAUGCGUAGAUAUUAGGAGGAACACCAGUGGCGAAGGCGGCCUACUGGACGGUGACUGACGCUGAGGCUCGAAAGCGUGGGGAGCAAACAGG